UACGUAGGGUGCAAGCGUUAAUCGGAAUUACUGGGCGUAAAGCGUGCGCAGGCGGCUAUGCAAGACAGAUGUGAAAUCCCCGGGCUCAACCUGGGAACUGCAUUUGUGACUGCAUGGCUAGAGUACGGCAGAGGGGGAUGGAAUUCCGCGUGUAGCAGUGAAAUGCGUAGAUAUGCGGAGGAACACCGAUGGCGAAGGCAAUCCCCUGGGCCUGUACUGGCGCUCAUGCACGAAAGCGUGGGGAGCAAACAGG
This 253-nucleotide ribosomal RNA is filed under the name uncultured bacterium. Its description in RNAcentral is "partial 16S ribosomal RNA". It matches the Rfam family "Bacterial small subunit ribosomal RNA", at positions 524 to 776 of the family's 1533-position model. The record is from RNAcentral.